This 69-nucleotide transfer RNA is filed under the name Macrochirichthys macrochirus (sward minnow). Its description in RNAcentral is "tRNA-Ser". The record is from RNAcentral. Lineage: Eukaryota; Metazoa; Chordata; Actinopteri; Cypriniformes; Xenocyprididae.
GAGAAAGAACAGAAAUUAAUAAGUACUGCUAAUCCUUAUGCACCACGGUUAAAAUCCGCGGCUUUCUCG